ACCUCCAAGUGUAAGUGGGGCUCUCCAGCACACCUGGAUGUGGAGGUGUGAUGCAGAGUGGUGGCUGCUCGUGACACUCAUUUCACCCCUUUCUGUGCAGGUGCCAGAAGCCCAGGAAGCACACAUCAAGGCUCGCUUGCCAGCGGGGUGCUGCCAAUAAAAUGUAGUCACGUGGAAUUUGGGAUGUGGAAAGGAGGUAGAAGUCAUCCUUUCCUCCCCCAUAGCAGCAGGUGUGCAGGCUCUGGUGGUCAGCUGGACUCCAUACUCCCCCACCAGUCACCAGCCUGGGGACCGUGGGGCUGCAAGGACCUCAGCAGCAGUUUCCCAAGUUUCCUGACUUCUUCCAUCCUCUGGAAAUCAGCUGUGAGCUAUCAGCUUCCCAGUUUGCACAAUUCAUCAAGAAAUUAUGCGGGGUCACUGGCACAAAUGAUGAGGCAUCUCCUGGAAGCUUAACUUCUUAUCCAUCCCAUCUCUUGGACAGAUGAUGCCAGUUAAUUACUUUGAAUGCUCUGCUGCUAUGGUGAGCUGCACGUCUGGAGGCUUCACAGAGACACUGGGUGAAGCUAAAUGAUGAGUUUGAU
Molecule: long non-coding RNA, 581 nt
Filed under: Homo sapiens (human)
Lineage: Eukaryota; Metazoa; Chordata; Mammalia; Primates; Hominidae
Description: HSALNT0391129
Source: RNAcentral